GUCAUCCCUGUUGACUGGCCAUGCUGACUGGGGCUUAUGGGAGUUGGAGUCCAGCAAUAACUGAAAGGCACCACAUUGGCUAUUGCUGACUUAGGCUGUUGGUUAAAAUCAGGAUCAUGGAACCCCAUGGGUCCACAGGUGCAGAAGGAGAUUACUGAGUUCCUCUUCUGGCUGCAGCCUUUUGCACUGCAUCAGACAUUGCCCCAGAAGUUUUUGUGACAUCAGUUGGGGGUUUUCUGCACCCAAAAGAGAGGGUAGGGGAGCCUAUAAGUCCCAGUACAUGUAUGGAACACUGCACAGCUCUCUGAAUCUUGGGCUAUGCACUUUCACAGUUUCAGUUUUCACUUGGUUUUGCACUUAAAUGGCUGUUUACCAUCCAUACAGGUGUGAAAUGGGCACCAAAUUCUCCUUUGAUACUUGUUGGAGGAAAUCAGAAUUAGUGCUGCUCCUCUCACUGUCCUGUGUGUUGAAGGCCGGAGAAUUGGUUGUGCCUUAACUACACUCAUUUUGUUGGCUGGGAAUGGCUUUUCCUCCCACUAUUUUGGAGCCUUAUCUUGCUCUCUGUUGUAUCUUUCCACUUAACGCUGGAAUGAAUUAUAGGAAACCCGGUCAUUCUGACUCAAUCAGUGCUUAGAUGUGUGACUCAGUACUGCAACAUUGCAAGUGACUGAGGAGACAUCAGACAGCUUUCUUCCCUCUUCUGACCUCCUGUACACACACCAGGGGGAUCUCUAAUCACAGGGGUGACAUCAAAAGUCUGUUUCUCUCAUUAAAGGCUUGAGUGGGUUCAAACAACUUCUGUGGUUGCCUCUACAGCUGGCACACUGGGGUGCAGGCAAUGCAGCUUAGAAUCAUAAAAUCACAUAGCUUAAAGGGACCCAAAGAUAAUCUACGCUGCAUGCCCCCCCCCGGAUUAACCCACUUUCCCUUGGUUUUAGUGUGCUGCAAAUAAAGAGCCAGAGAGCAGAUCAGGUGCUCACACCAGAGCUGCCUCUUGAAUUAAGUAAUAUGAAAAAAAUCUAGACAGCAAGCUUGGUGCUUAUUACAGCAGCAAAUUGCCAGAGUCAGUAGCCAGUCUGAGCAGAGAGACAACAUGUUUCUGUAGGGAUUUUUUGUCUCCAGUUAGACUUUUAUCUAAAAGUGCAGCAAAAUGAUGUAAUGAGGUACUAGAGUCCUGAAAUAAUACGAUGGCCCGGGGUGGGAUAAAUUUAUUUGGGAUAUAGGAGCAGGUCUUGAUGUUCUGCCCUUUCAUUCACCCCAGUAGAUAAGGUCAAGAAAAAAGGGCAGCUAUUGGAGUUUCCAACCUUAAAUCAAUAUUUCUUUGUCCUAUUGGUGAUUGGCAUUGUGCCCUCACAGCUGCUCUGUUUCACAGAAACCAGCUACUUCCAGCUUCUGGUGGCACAUUCUGUUUCCGAGAGCAACUCUCUUGUGCUGGUUAAUGUGUCAGGAUACGUUGUCAGACAUCAGCUUAAGGACAUUGCGUCAGUCAUGGUAGGCAGGUGGCCAUAUCAUUUUGGGCAGUUAAAUUUUAUUGACGUCUACAAAGGCACUUCCUGUCCCAAUGAACGGUGACUCAGUGGAGGUGUUAAGAGUAGAGGUAUACGAAGUGUCUGGGAGUGAUACCAUUGCAGUGGGGUAGCCCUUGGGUGCUCCCAAGUGUGCAUUUCCCCAUGACAGAGAGGGAGGGAGUGAUGGUGCAGCAGUAGCUGUGAUGUUGAAUCGCUCAUGAGUAAGGAUGUGAGUCUGCCUUGUCCUCACCUUGUUGAGACAUCAGCAUUACAUAGGAAAAGUAAUGUAACACACAGCUUCUGUGCUUAAGAAGCUUUAAUCCACUACAGUGGGAUUGAUUCAUGUCCAUGUGUUCCUGCAGUAGUUCUAGAGGUACAUUAUGCAGAACCAGUUUCUCAGCCCAGGGUGACAUCUAGUGGUCCAACAUACUCUCUCUGUCAGUAACCAGGCUCCUAUUGAUGCUUGGCUUUAUCUCAUACAGUGGUUUCACUUAGGUUACUUUGCAGUUGGAGAUGCACCUCCUAUUUAUGUGUCACCAAUGAGUAUUGCCCACUACUGGUGGCACACUGGUCUUUUCAUUGACCUUUGUGGUGUGUAUGUGACUGCUUCAGGAGACACCCCAGCAUGUGUGGUAGUGGUAAAGGUCUCUGCCUUGUCUCUCUAUUUCCAGUUGUCUAUUCUGGACAGGACACCAAUUUUAUAGAGGGUUAUUCCUUUAGACUCACUCACACUUUCCCCCACAGUUAUUUCUGUUACGUGGUGGGGAAAUUGCCAAAUGUGAGGUGCCUAUGUUCAACAGCCCUGGUGGUGAGAAAUUUCUGUGUUAAGGAAUUAUUAAGUUUGUAGGUCAAAAGAAAAUGACCACAUGACCUCUCACUGUUGUUCCGUCCUGGAUUGCAGAACUCUUAGUCCAUGCUUUUGCUUCUCCUGCUCAGAGUUCAUGCCAGUGAACCGGAUUCAUUGUGUGCAUUUGCUUAAAAACAAAAAGCAACAAGAUGGCAACACUUGGGUACUGAAUUGUCUCUAGAUGUUGAAGUUGGUUUCUAUCUUAUACCACCCCUUCCCUCCCUGUUGGAACAGUAAAUAAUGUAAAUAUAUUGGAACUUAGCAAUACUGUGUAAAAAACAAACCAACCCAUACAGCAUCUCGGAUCUAGUGGUGCAAAACCCACCUAUCCACUGUGGAAUGGGAUAAGGUCAGUGAUUGCCACUUCAGAGAAUGCCAGCUUCAGAUUAUGUGACGUUUUUGUUAAUAAGAGAGGACUCACCCCAGAGACAUAACUGGGAAUGGGGAUAGGGGGUAUCAUGGACAAGAGGCAGCUUCUAACUGGGUUGUGCCAUUUGAAAUGUCUCACGUUUUUGAGCCUGGAGAUUCUUCAUGAUUACUUCCUCCUACUGGUUUCCAAGUACUCCGUGUACAGGAGUUCCCCUUCUGUAUCAGCAGAUUCUUCAUGAUGACGUCCUCCUACUGGUUUCCAAAAUUCCCCUUGCCCCUUUGGAUAGUACCUUGAAGUGUAAUUGUGCCUUAACACCAGCCAGCAGGGAUAAGGAGGUGUAUUCUGCUGGGACAAAGGCCCUUGGGGUAGUUUAAUCAGAAAGGGGACAGGCUAGCAUCUGCUAUGUCUCUUCUCUUAGUGUUCGGAAAGUUAGUUUCUCUUGCUAUAAAGGCAGUGCCCCAAUCAUUAAUGCCUAGUUCUUUGAAGUCCCCCACUCCAUAUGGGACCAAGCCCACACUCACAGUGGAUAGAGGCUUCCUUGCCCUCAUAGCCUUACUAAGCAAACUCUGAUGGCCAGCUGUAACAAUCUGGAAGAGCUGGGUCUUCCAAGGGAACCUUUUGGCUUGGUCCUUCUAAGCUACGGUGCUUCUGUUUUGAGGUGCAUUGGGAUGCUUCCAAAUGGAGUUUUUUUCCUUUUCUUUUUCUGGACUCAUGUAUGCUCCUACAUGAGUGGAAUUCAAGAGGUCCUUAGGCUUACAAAACCAUUUCCACAUGCAUGUCAGAUGGUGUUCCCUCCCUCUUCAAUUUUUCCUGUCUUCCACUCCUUGUACAGCAUUGAAGACUAUCCCCAAGAAUUUUGGGGAGUAGUUUGUUGAGCCAGCACAGAGGUCUUCAGUCAUAAAGGUGAGCCUCCCAAAGUUUGCACGAUAAUUCAUUGCACGGUCAUUUUGGGUCCUAGCCAGUGCUUUUUUCCCUAAAAAAAUGUUUUGGGGUACUCUCAUUCUGUCUGAGACUCAGGAAACACCAUGACAGGAAAUGAGGCCGCCAUCGGGAGUAGCAACCAAACUGACGAUUCACCUUGCUAGAGAAGAAACUAAAUUUUUUAUUUUUUUUAGUUUCUUCUCCUGUUAGAUUCACAAAAUGUUUAGGGGUAUGCAUACCCCUACAUCCCCCCAGAAAAAAAACCCACUGGUCCUGGCCAUGGAGCAUGCCUGAAACUGGUAAGCCAGAUGGAAGAUAUGUCAACCCUGUGCUGAUACCAGGUUGGGGAGACAGCAACAUGUGUAAUGCAGCCACUUUGAGGUUUUUUCCCCUACAAUUGAGUGAUUUAUAAAUUUUAUGAAAUAAUAAUGGAGUUGCUACAGGUAGCACAAUCUGCAGGAAUAAAUGUCUCCCCCCCCCCCCAUUCCACAUCCUCCUUUCUUCCUUCUCUGAUGCUGUGGAACAGUUUUAAACCCCCAUCUGGAAGCUCCCUUGGUCUUUAUUUCUGAUGUGCUGAUUACUUUAUUCAUCUGUUGAAGAGCUAUAUGGUCCCUUUCUUAGAGUGCAGAUGCCACUGCUACUGAAAUAUACUGUGACUGAAGCACAGACUUCUGCAUGAGCUGUCCUUUGUCCUCAUCCAAUUGCUACUUUAUAAGGAAAGAAGUCUGGUGGGGAAGUCCCUGAUGUGAUGGCAUGUGAGGGAGAUAAUGAAGGCAACAUGGCACCUUUUAGCUGCCAUAAUGUGCAUUUUGGCCCUCGGCUAACCAGACAGACAGCUGAACCUGCCAUUACAUGAGUCUCUGGUUUGGUGGCCAAGCAGCGGCCUGGGAUGCCCUGGCUGAGGCUGCAUUCUUCUCUGACACACACUAACACCAAAAGUAUGGGAUUGUCUUCAUUGCAGUUGAGUGAAACGUGUUUGUCAACCAUGUUGUUUAAUCCAAAUAUGAAUGAGACAGCUGAGAUGGUCCUCUGAAAAAUCUGUCAGUAGCAAAUGCCCGGGGGGAGCACUAGAAAAAGGUGUGUGUGGAGAGAGGAAGGAAGGAAGAAAGGAGGGUGGCUUGGUUGCAUCAUUCUGCCUAUGCAGCUUUUUCAUACCUUUUGAAAAGUUGUCUGUUCUGAAUGCCUUAUACAAUUUUCAUGCUGCAUUUGCCAACCAGUGCCUUAUCUAAAGCAAUCAGUCUCUGCCCUCAGAAAUCCAGGGUUCACUUGCAGCCCUGAGUCAAGAUCCAAAGAACUGCACAAUUAGUAAUGCACAUCAACUAGUCUUCAUGUUUGUGUUUGUCGUACUCCUGUUUCCCCCUUUCCCCCAUGCUCUGCUACAGACAGUUUUUGAACUUGGGAGUACAAGGGCCUCCGGUUCAAAGGGAGGAGCAAUAAAAUAAAAAAAUCUCCCACUGGGCACUUUCUAGCCUGACACUGUUCUGUGGAUCUCAGCUGUAGCAUUUGUCCCCCACUAGCAGAGACAUAGCAAAGAAUGUGAAGUGCAUUAAUUGACUGAGGGUGGCUAUCCGAAACAACCAGGUGCCCUGCUUUCUGGUUGGGCAGCCUCUGUGUUGAAAAAUCCAUUUGUCUGUGCUUUUCCAUCACUCGGUCUUCUCUUCUGCUUCAUCUUUGCUCGUCUGCCUCUGUGGCAUGUAAUGAAAGGUUGUUUGUAAAGUUGUGGAUUUCAAGCUUUCCACUUGCAGUGUACCUUCUAGCCCAACUCGUCUGCAAAGGAACCCUUCCCUGCUUGCCCAUGAGAGAACCCCAGCACACUGCAGAGGAUUCUGGGGCUUGUAGGGCAUGCCCUGAGCAAUGGCUGCUGGUUAGGCCUUGUUGGGUGUUGCCAUUUAACCUGUACUAAAGUAGAAUGCCUUAGAACACAACACACCUACUACUGGCUAUGCAUUGCUGGGAAAGAUUGGUAGUGAUGGGCAAGCUGCCUAUUGGGAAAGCUCGUUUGCCGCUACUGAUUUUUCUCACUAAUAAGUAUUCAAAGAACCUCUGGGUUCUUGGAGUACACUUUGAAAACCACUGUUUUAAAUAAACAAGGCUGCGGUUCUAUAGCCACUUACCUGGGAGUCAGCACCAUUGAACUCAGUGGGACUUAUUUCUGAGUAGACAUGCACAGGACUGCACUGUGUAAGACACUCUGUCUCUGGCUAGUAGCAGGCUACUUUCCAAGCCGCCUGCAGUCUGGUGGCCUUUGGACUGGGGGGGGGGGCGCCACCUCUUGGCCUCCACCUGCCCUUAUCUUCUCCCCUGUCCUGUGAAUGGUUCACUUUUGACCCUGCAGUGCUUCUUGGGAGUCCUCCACUGCAGGUCUUAAGGAACUCACUUUCACUUUUCAGGCAUUCUCCCCCACCCCCUGCUCAUCACACUCAAGUUGCCAAAAAAGAUUGUUCCUAAUCUCUCUCUCCCUGUUCUCAGUGGGACAGUGAGAUUUUACUUUUUGUCUCAAGUAUUCAUGUCUGUGAUUUUUGCCUUAGGUGCCUCUUUUAUUUUUUACACUAUGGAAUUUCUACUUUUUUAGAGUGUGAUUUGAUACAUGGCAAUUAACCUGUAAUGUUGAAAUUAGUGUAUAGAAUUAUUUAUUUUGUGUAUUCAGUCUGUUUUUAAAUUUGUAAAAGUAUUCUGUUUAUUCAGUAAAGUGUUGAUCCUC
Podarcis lilfordi (Lilford's wall lizard) is the source of this 6347-nucleotide non-coding RNA. The record is from the annotation of a GenBank genome assembly. NCBI's taxonomy places the organism in Eukaryota, Metazoa, Chordata, Lepidosauria, Squamata, Lacertidae.